UACCAGCACCCCGAGUGGUCGGGACGAUUAUUGGGCCUAAAGCAUCCGUAGCCGGUUCUACAAGUCUUCCGUUAAAUCCAUCUGCUUAACAGAUGGGCUGCGGAGGAUACUAUGGAGCUAGGAGGCGGGAGAGGCAAGCGGUACUUAGUGGGUAGGGGUAAAAUCCGUUGAUCCACUGAAGACCACCAGUGGCGAAGGCGGCUUGCCAGAACGCGCUCGACGGUGAGGGAUGAAAGCUGGGGGAGCAAACCGG
This 253-nucleotide ribosomal RNA is filed under the name uncultured bacterium. RNAcentral's name for it is "partial 16S ribosomal RNA". It matches the Rfam family "Archaeal small subunit ribosomal RNA", at positions 474 to 727 of the family's 1478-position model. RNAcentral also lists the same sequence under 2 other names. The record is from RNAcentral.